RNAcentral lists this ribosomal RNA (433 nucleotides) under uncultured bacterium. Its description in RNAcentral is "partial 16S ribosomal RNA". It matches the Rfam family "Bacterial small subunit ribosomal RNA", at positions 29 to 507 of the family's 1533-position model. The record is from RNAcentral.
AACGAACGCUGGCGGCAUGCCUAACACAUGCAAGUCGAACGAAGCCUUCGGGCCUAGUGGCGCACGGGUGCGUAACGCGUGGGAAUCUGCCCUUAGCUUCGGAAUAACAGCCAGAAAGGGGUGCUAAUACCGGAUGAUGUCUUCGGACCAAAGAUUUAUCGGCAUUGGAUGGGCCCGCGUAGGAUUAGCUAGUUGGUAGGGUAAAGGCCUACCAAGGCGACGAUCCUUAGCUGGUCUGAGAGGAUGAUCAGCCACACUGGGACUGAGACACGGCCCAGACUCCUACGGGAAGCAGCAGUGGGGAAUAUUGGACAAUGGGCGAAAGUCUGAUCCAGCAAUGCCGCGUGAGUGAUGAAGGCCUUAGGGUUGUAAAGCUCUUUUACCAGGGAUGAUAAUGACAGUACCUGGAGAAUAAGCGCCGGCUAACUCCGUG